AACACAUGCAAGUCGAACGCAACCUUCGGGUUGAGUGGCGGACGGGUGAGUAACGCGUGAGAAUCUGCCUUGGGGUCGGGGACAACCACUGGAAACGGUGGCUAAUACCGGAUAAGCCUUUGGGUAAAAGAUUUAUUGCCCCAAGAGGAGCUCGCGUCUGAUUAGCUAGUUGGUGAGGUAAAAGCUCACCAAGGCAGCGAUCAGUAGCUGGUCUGAGAGGACGAUCAGCCACACUGGGACUGAGACACGGCCCAGACUCCUACGGGAGGCAGCAGUGGGGAACUUUCCGCAAUGGGCGAAAGCCUGACGGAGCAAGACCGCGUGAGGGAGGAAGGCUCUUGGGUUGUAAACCUCUUUUCUCAGGGAAGAAGCUCUGACGGUACCUGAGGAAUCAGCCUCGGCUAACUCCGUGCCAGCAGCCGCGGUAAUACGGAGGAUGCAAGCGUUAUCCGGAUUCAUUGGGUUUAAAGGGUGCGCAGGCGGUGUACUAAGUCAGUGGUGAAAUGCUGCGGCUCAACCGUAGACUUGCCAUUGAUACUGGUACACUUGAAUGUAGUUGAGGUAGGCGGAAUGUGUAAUGUAGCGGUGAAAUGCUUAGAUAUUACACAGAACACCGAUUGCGAAGGCAGCUUACUAAACUAUGAUUGACGCUGAGGCACGAAAGCGUGGGGAGCGAACAGGAUUAGAUACCCUGGUAGUCCACGCUGUAAACUAUGAUCACUGGUUGUUGGCAAUAUACCGUCAGCGACUGAGCGAAAGCAUUAAGUGAUCCACCUGGGGAGUACGUCGGCAACGAUGAAACUCAAAGGAAUUGACGGGGGCCCGCACAAGCGGAGGAACAUGUGGUUUAAUUCGAUGAUACGCGAGGAACCUUACCUGGGCUUAAAUGUAGAGUGCAUAGAGUGGAAACAUUCUUUUCCUUCGGGACUCUUUACAAGGUGCUGCAUGGUUGUCGUCAGCUCGUGCCGUGAGGUGUCGGGUUAAGUCCCAUAACGAGCGCAACCCUUGUCGUUAGUUGCUAGCAGGUCAAGCUGAGGACUCUAACGAGACUGCCGGUGUAAACCGAGAGGAAGGUGGGGAUGACGUCAAAUCAGCACGGCCCUUAUGUCCAGGGCUACACACGUGUUACAAUGGCCAGUACAAGGAGCAGCCACCUGGCAACAGGGCGCUAAUCUCAAAAGCUGGUCACAGUUCGGAUCGGAGUCUGCAACUCGACUUCGUGAAGGUGGAUUCGCUAGUAAUCGCGCAUCAGCCACGGCGCGGUGAAUACGUUCCCGGGCAUUGUACACACCGCCCGUCAAGCCAUGGAAGCUGGGGGUACAUGAAGUCCGUAACC
RNAcentral lists this ribosomal RNA (1336 nucleotides) under uncultured organism. RNAcentral's name for it is "bacterial SSU rRNA". It matches the Rfam family "Bacterial small subunit ribosomal RNA". The record is from RNAcentral.